RNAcentral lists this ribosomal RNA (397 nucleotides) under uncultured bacterium. RNAcentral describes it as "partial 16S ribosomal RNA". It matches the Rfam family "Bacterial small subunit ribosomal RNA", at positions 523 to 917 of the family's 1533-position model. The record is from RNAcentral.
AUACGUAGGGUGCGAGCGUUGUCCGGAAUUACUGGGCGUAAAGAGCUCGUAGGUGGUUUGUCGCGUCGUCUGUGAAAUUCCGGGGCUUGACUCCGGGCGUGCAGGCGAUACGGGCAUAACUUGAGUACUGUAGGGGAGACUGGAAUUCCUGGUGUAGCGGUGAAAUGCGCAGAUAUCAGGAGGAACACCGGUGGCGAAGGCGGGUCUCUGGGCAGUAACUGACGCUGAGGAGCGAAAGCAUGGGUAGCGAACAGGAUUAGAUACCCUGGUAGUCCAUGCCGUAAACGGUGGGCGCUAGGUGUAGGGGUCUUCCACGACUUCUGUGCCGUAGCUAACGCAUUAAGCGCCCCGCCUGGGGAGUACGGCCGCAAGGCUAAAACUCAAAUGAAUUGACGGG